GUAUGUCCCUGACCACCUCCCCCACCACACGGGCAGCUCCCCAAGGGGAGGCUCCUCAGAAGGGGGCUCUUGAGCCUCCUACCUCAUUCGAGGGCUCCCUGUGUCCUCAGACUGGGAUGGAUGAGUGGGGACAGAGAAGUGGAAAGAAGGUUCUGCCUGAGCUGCUGGUAAGCUGGCCUGGUUGCUCUGUCUGGUGUCUCUGAGGGGAAGCUGAGGCACCCUGAGCCUGAAGGAGCCUGGGGAGUGGCACAACCGUAGGUCCUGUGGACUCUGCCCUUGACCCUUGACCCUGCCCUUGACCUGCAGAGCCAAGACUGAGGAGGCAGUGGAGAGGCACAUUCCUGGUGUCUGGAGGAAGAAAGGCCAGCCACAAAGGGCCUACUGGCUAUCUAUGUGGUGUGGUGGCCAGGGGAGGAGUGCAAAGCUUGUUUGUAUCUGGCAGAUGGUGGCUGAGUGUCAAAUCCUCCAGUGAGUUAGUGGCAGAAGCAGGACAAGAAUCAGGACCAGAGUGCUGGACUCUCCCCAUUUCCUCAUCUUAUAGUGGUGGACAUGUGUGGGUCUCACUAUGCGUCCAGGAUCCUGCCUCCAAACCCAGGCCCUGCUAUGGCCAUACCAGAGACACUCACCCUGGCCACAGUCCUUCCCUGGAAGUCCUGGAAGAAGGGACACUGCCUAACAGGACACAGCCCUUUAGCCCUAAGGCUCACCCUGGGAAAGAGGCCUGCCUGCAGCGCUCUUCUCCCAGCACAGGGAACACCUGCUGAUUUGGGUGUGUGUGUGGGACUCUGGCCCUUUCCUCCCCACCAGUGUGCAGUCCCAGGACACAGGGUGAAGCCCAGAGUGAGAAAUUCCUGAGUCCUGGCUGCCUCCAUAGGGGGCAAUCAGGAGGCCCCCUCUGCUGACUGAUGGGCUGUGUGGCGUAGAGUAGGGCUUUUCCUCUCUGGGGGCCCCAGUUUCUCCAUCUAUAAAAUGAAGGGCUAGGUUACAUUCAUAGUUCUGGGAUGUCAUUCCUAUGCUACCUGCUACACCCCCACUGUUGAGGGAUAAGGUGACCCUGACCUAUUCUGCAGGGAAAUGGAAGCUGGGUGGGUCUUACCAGGCUGCAUGGUUAGUUAGUUUUUGUUUAGUUUUCAGAGGACAAAUGAAAGGGACCCAUUGUCUGCUAGGUAUGUCUCUUGCCAAGUGCUCCUUUCCUGCUGGGGUGGGGGAAGGUCAGG
RNAcentral lists this long non-coding RNA (1217 nucleotides) under Marmota monax (woodchuck). Lineage: Eukaryota; Metazoa; Chordata; Mammalia; Rodentia; Sciuridae. The record is from RNAcentral.